AUACGUAGGGUGCAAGCGUUAAUCGGAAUUACUGGGCGUAAAGCGUGCGCAGGCGGUUUUGUAAGACCGUGGUGAAAUCCCCGGGCUCAACCUGGGAAAUGCCAUUGUGACUGCAAGGCUUGAGUGCGGCAGAGGGGGGUGGAAUUCCGCGUGUAGCCGUGAAAUGCGUAGAUAUGCGGAGGAACACCGAUGGCGAAGGCAAUCCCCUGGGCCUGCACUGACGCUCAUGCACGAAAGCGUGGGGAGCAAACAGGAUUAGAUACCCUGGUAGUCCACGCCCUAAACGAUGUCAACUGGUUGUUGGGGAUUUAUUUUCUCAGUAACGAAGCUAACGCGUGAAGUUGACCGCCUGGGGAGUACGGCCGCAAGGUUAAAACUCAAAGGAAUUGACGGGG
RNAcentral lists this ribosomal RNA (395 nucleotides) under uncultured bacterium. RNAcentral's name for it is "partial 16S ribosomal RNA". It matches the Rfam family "Bacterial small subunit ribosomal RNA", at positions 523 to 918 of the family's 1533-position model. The record is from RNAcentral.